UGGGUCUGAGCAUGAUGACUUUGCAGGAGCAGCUCCAGGGGAGGUGUCUGGGUGCAGGCAGCUGUCUGAAGCCAGCAGGAAGCAGCAGUUAGGAAAAAGAGUGAUGGGGUGGCCAGAUUUGGAGUUGGAAGUGAAGAAGUUCAGGUCGAAAGAGAGCGGGCUGAAGGAAGAGACCAGGACAGAGCUCCAGAAAAAUGCAAGAUGAAGAAGGAGAAAGAGAAGGUGCUUCUCUUUUCUUCUGGGUGAAGUGGAUUGGGGUGAUCUGCUGGAGGAGAGACCUGCAGUGUAGGUAGAGGCACAGGUCAGGAGAGAACCAACUCCAGAGACCAGGGAAGGCUGAGCAGUCAAAGAUGACGUCUGAGAAGUUACCGGAUGUGAGCUGAUCAGAAGCCAAUUGCUAGAUGCCGCGACCGCCUGGACCAGCAAGGAUGACGCAACACCGGAGCUCUUCUUGCAAGCAGUUUAUUCAGGACCUUGAACAGCGAUCUCUCUCCUCGGGCAAGCCUCUCCAAGCCCUUAAAUAGGUAUGGACCACCAACCCUGGAUUGCUACGUAGGCACCGUCCAUAGGUCCAACACAUACGCAAGCGCUUACGAUCAUCUGGCCUUAGCCAUAUGUGGAGUUGUUUUUCGAAGAGAGCGCUGGCUUUCAGGAUCGCGGAGGGCGGGAGGCAGCGCCAUCUUUAAAGCGCGGCUCCACGCAGCUCUCUACAGCUAGAUAUUAUUCAGUGUUUCCAUUUUUUUUGAAAAUUAACAUGGUGACACCUUUAAUCUCACCAUUUGGAAGGCAGAGGCAGGUGGACCUCUCUGAGUUUGAGGCCAACCUGGUGAGACCUUAUCCUUAAACAAAAAUAAGGUAAAAAUAGAAUAGGCACAGGAUUUGCACUCAUCAACCCUUUAUUUUCCUCAUUUUUCCACUUAGCCAUUUAUCUUGUCUGUCUUCUAGAAGCCACAGAGAUUUUAAAUUCUUGCUAGAGACUGCCAGCACCUGUAGCACCCUUAUUUCUGCAUCUAGUUACCCUUGAACUUUCAUUUCUUAAAUGAAAUAAACUUAUUUACUACAUAAGUAAGCUUCCAGCUUCCCUUCCUGUCCAGUGGCACCUGAUUUACAAAAAGGGGGACUAUGGUUGUUUCACUUAGAAGUUCCUGAUCCACUGACCUCAAGGUGGAGGUGGAGGCCACUCUGAGAAGGAAUGGAGAACUGUAAGCACUUCUUUUUUUUGCAGGCACAAAACUACACAUGUGCAUUUUGGAACAAUGUCAGGCCUAUUUCUGAGUCCUGAAGCUCCUAAGAUGCCAGUAAGGGAUGUGGAAAUGCCCCAUAUUUUUUGUUGCCUGGAGUUAAAGUAUACAUAAACUGGUAUAUAUGAUUCUUACCUUAUUGAAGAAGGGUCUGAAAUGGCACCUUUCUCCCAAACAUGAACAAUACUUAUUAUAUUUAUGUUGCUGUAACAAAACAAGUUAGUGAAGACCAUAGAUUUAUUUCUUAUAGUUCGGAGAGCUGUUGAGGUCAAGGUUAAGGCCAACAUACUAGCUGAUUCAGUGUGUGGUGAAGGCUUGUUUGCUGUUUACACAGUAGCACCAGAAGGACUCUGUGCUCACAUGGUAGAUGACAGAAGGACAAAAGCUCAUCUAAUUCCCCUGAGUCUUUUCACACAGGUGUUGAUUUCCUUGAUGAGAGCCGGGCCCUUCAUGACUUAAUCAGUUAUUAAAGGGCCCCUGCAUCUUAAUCCUGAGUUUAAACUUUGGCCUACAUCCAAACAAUAGGGAUUUUCUAUAUACAAGAUAUUUCUUCAUGUGAGUUUGCGUAUUUGUGUGUGUAUAUGUGUACACAGGUAUGUGUGCAUCCAUGUGGAGGUCAGAGGUUGAUGUCAGGGAAUAUUCUUUGAUCACUGUCUACCUUAUGUUUUGAGACAGGGUCUCUCACUGGACUUGAAGUGAACUGAUUGUCUAGACUGGCUAGUUGUCAAACCCCAGGGGUCUUCCUUUCUUCACCUCCUCGACAAUGGGAUUGCAAAUGUGAUACCAUGCCUGGAAUUUUAAUUGGGUGCUGGGGAUCCAAACUCUAAGUGAACCAUUUCCUCAGAGCCAACUACAUUAGAUAGUCAUGUUAAUAUCAUGAGAUGUUAAAAAAAAACCUAAGAUUGUGUAGAUAUAAAAGCAAUGUCCAUUCUAGGAGCAAGAGACCUGCCUUUUCUGGCUAACCUGAUGGAUCUAGGUGACCCACAGCUAUACAAUUUGGCCAUGCUAUUGGUAACAUUUGCCAUUUUUCUUGGGGUUGUAUAAAGUCUCCCAGUGACUACAGUUCCCUUGGUGGCCAUUUGAGUCACAGGGAAGAAAAAUAAUCUCCAGAAAGCACAGAAUGAAUAAUGGCAGCAUGGGGAAGAGAUGCUCAUGGUUAUGACCCACUCACAGAUUUUUGAAAUAUAGGUCAGAUGGAGAGGAAGUGAAACUUCCUGUUGAAGUUUCAUUUAUAGCAUGUGUCUGGAAAUUGCUAAAUGUAAUUUCUUGGUGUAAAAUAAACUGCAGAAAUCUGGGUUGUGUCCGUCUGCUGUAUGUUUAUGGAAGCCAUUCUGUCUGAAGCUGAGAUGCUGUGAAAUUAUAUAGUGGCAUGAACAGCCACAAUUAGUGUAACAGAUGUGACCCUCUUCUCCAACUCAGAAGCUGUCAGGAUCUCAGCAACCGGAUCCAGAAACUAUCUGGGAAUUCCUAAAAUCCAUACAAUGCUACCCAUGUGAAGGACAACAUCAACGUUUUAUUUGCUACACAUUCGUUUGUGUGUCUUAGUACUUUCUACUUUCCUUUUUUAGUGACUUAAAAACAAUAAGCAUGGGGCUAGAAUGAUAGUUCACUUGGUAAUGUGUUAGCAUUGAGGUUGAGAUAAGAGGAUUUGAGGUCCUGUCAAAUGGAUGAAUUCCAAGUCCCAGUGAGAGACCCAAUCUCAAAAGUAAGGUGGUAAAAAAAAAAAAAAAAAAAAAAAAAAAAAAGGGC
Molecule: non-coding RNA, 2990 nt
Organism: Cricetulus griseus (Chinese hamster)
Lineage: Eukaryota; Metazoa; Chordata; Mammalia; Rodentia; Cricetidae
Source: RefSeq, a predicted model, not a curated record